AUGGUAUUUUACAGGCUCAAAUUGAGGGGAAGGAACUCUUCUCGCUGCUGUGGGAUGGUGAGCACAGUGAUCGUGCUCCUCUCUGCGGUGGGGAAGCUCUGGCAGAGGGAUGCUCUCCAAGUGUGGUUUCUGUGCCUAUCCCCUGUUUUGGAUGCCAAAGACCUUCCUUUAUUGGAUCCACGUUUUCUGGUGGACAAUCCGGCUGUGGCUUGUCUGUCUCAGUGGAUGAUGCAGUGUCCCUUGAAGGCAGUGCUACUGCAGCACACCCAAAAAACAGUGAAAGGAAAGCUGUACUGUCUCCAGGAUGCCAAUGACACCUCUGCAGGAGCUUGAUUCCAGUGCUGGACCUGACUACCAGUGCAAAGACCAGUGCCACCUCAGGAGAUACCUGGAGCUGAAUUCAUUGCAGUAUUCCAUGUCUUUACAAAGAAACUGUGAUAUCUGAAGAAAUGGAGACAGUAUCAGAAGAGAGAAAGACCUGAUUCCUCUACCAUUAAUUUAUUCAUGUAGCUGAAGCUGUCUAUAAAACAUCUGAUUUCACAAAUAAGGCAACUUUAGUGAAUUAAAAGAAUUAAACAUUUUAUGAAAAAUGUUCGUAUUUUUCAGUUCAGUCUAUGUAAAGCCCCAAGAAAACCUCUUUGUCUUAAAUUUUUCAUGGGAUUUAUAUUAAUGCCAUAAUUUCCCUCAUAUAAAUUAAUACUUCUGAGUAUUUAGAAGGCUGUGGUAGAAAGCCUGUUGUGGUUAGCACCUUUCCACCAUUUCAGGUGUAGAAAAUUUCAGGAAAGACACAGAGAGGGAUCAGCUGUUGAACAAACAGUGAGAGGGCUGAGCAGAUGUUCCCUUCCCUAAGCAGCACUCAUCCUGGACUCUGCAGGAGGUGAGAAUGCACUGGAGAAAACACCUCAUAUCCUGAAAAUAAAGGCAACCUCAUGAUGUACA
RNAcentral lists this long non-coding RNA (939 nucleotides) under Parus major (Great Tit). RNAcentral describes it as "lncRNA (ENSPMJG00000000563.1)". Lineage: Eukaryota; Metazoa; Chordata; Aves; Passeriformes; Paridae. The record is from RNAcentral.